GUCAUUUAGCAUUUGGUCAAAGUUUAAUGAACAACGAGCAGUUUGGCUUCAAGUAGCCUCAACUCUCAACUAAAUUCAAAGCAGAUUUUCAGAGGUGACUGAAACAGACGAGAAGAUGAAUCACCGAAGGCAUGAAAGUAUAAAUUAAACAUCAGGACAUUUCAGAGAAUAGUUUUUUGUCUGUGAGUUUGAAACCAUCGCUGGUUCCCUGCUUGGGUUUUUUGAGGAUUAAUUGUUUUAAAUAUGAUCAUGGAGAUUUAAGAUUCAUUCGUUGUGGAUUAUCUGUUAAACUGGUCGAUAGUCUGCGCCUGAAGUGCUUUUGGAGCACACUGGGUACUAGUAGCAGACAUGGUCCUCUUUUCACACAGCAGUGUUUUUCGCCUACGCGCUGUUACGACAUUUCCAUAUACCAAUGGAGACAGUAUUCCCGAAAGAUUGGAAGGACUCGCAUUCAACUACCAAUAAAAAGCGAACAAGGUAUCCUUAUUCCAGAAGAAAAAAAUCCCUGGCAAUCAAUCACCCAUUGAAAUAUACAGGAAAUAUUCAGAAACGAUAGGCCUGUAUACACAUUUGGAGCUAACGUUAGGAUUUUGGGGUGUUUCGGAAGCUUUGUGAUGACAAAUAAAGGCGCUGCCUUAAGAUACAAGCA
Gymnodraco acuticeps is the source of this 649-nucleotide long non-coding RNA. RefSeq lists it as uncharacterized. The record is from RefSeq and is a predicted model, not a curated record. The transcript is spliced from 2 exons. Lineage: Eukaryota; Metazoa; Chordata; Actinopteri; Perciformes; Bathydraconidae.